AUCACUUCUCUGCUUCUUGGCUAAGAUCAAGUGUAGUAUCUGUUCCUAUCAGUUUAAAACGGUGAUAAUGAUGAAGUCUUUUUAAUACACUGGUGUCCAAACGUUUUACCAAAUUUUAUUAUACAAAUGUUCAUGUUCACACUUU
Molecule: small nuclear RNA, 145 nt
Filed under: Balaenoptera musculus (blue whale)
Lineage: Eukaryota; Metazoa; Chordata; Mammalia; Artiodactyla; Balaenopteridae
Description: U2 spliceosomal RNA (ENSBMSG00010006384.1)
Rfam family: U2 spliceosomal RNA
About the family: U2 is a small nuclear RNA (snRNA) component of the spliceosome (involved in pre-mRNA splicing).
Source: Rfam by way of RNAcentral